GUGGUUUAUAGCAUUGACUGUCAGGAUUGUGAUUUUGUUUACGUUGGCCAAACAGAUAGAGCCCUGAAAACUCGGAUCAAAGAGCACCAAAACGCAGUGAAGAACGACGAUGAAUAUUCUAAAAUAGCGCAACACACGAAACACCCACCUUCACAGAAUGGAUUUUGAAAACACCAAAGUUGUUGAUCGUGAACCAGAUUAUAACAAAAGGUUAUUCCUUGAAGCGUGGUAUUCUUUAAGACAAGCCAAUGCGGGAAAUGAUCACAAUGACAUUCCUGAGAUUUACAAUUGCCUUGUAUAGUUCA
This is a non-coding RNA of Paramuricea clavata, 305 nucleotides long. The record is from the annotation of a GenBank genome assembly. NCBI's taxonomy places the organism in Eukaryota, Metazoa, Cnidaria, Anthozoa, Malacalcyonacea, Plexauridae.